GGGGCCUUAGCUCAGCUGGGAGAGCGCCCGCUUUGCAAGCGGGAGGUCGUGGGUUCGAAUCCCACAGGCUCCACCA
This 76-nucleotide transfer RNA is filed under the name Trueperaceae bacterium. RNAcentral's name for it is "tRNA-Ala". It matches the Rfam family "tRNA". From Rfam's summary of the family: Transfer RNA (tRNA) molecules are approximately 80 nucleotides in length. Their secondary structure includes four short double-helical elements and three loops (D, anti-codon, and T loops). The record is from RNAcentral. Lineage: Bacteria; Thermotogati; Deinococcota; Deinococci; Trueperales; Trueperaceae. RNAcentral also lists the same sequence under 1 other name.